AAGAAUAGAAAUGCAGUAUUCUAUUGGUUUAACUCCAGUCAGGGUAACUAAGAGCUUAAUGACUGUUUCGAAACUCCAGGCAAUAGAGUCCCUGCAACAUUUUAUUUAAUAUUUGAAACCAUCUCUGUUUUUGUUUUGUUUGCAAGUAUAGAUACCUUUCUUUCUUUCUUUCUUUCUUUCUUUCUUUCUUUCUUUCUGUCUUUCUGUCUUUCUGUCUGUCUGUCUGUCUGUCUGUCUGUCUGUCGAAGAAAGAAUCUUAACUCAACUCUGUCUUCAAAUCAGCGGAAAAACAGAAAUGUUUUAUUAACACCUUCUGGGUUAGAGUAGUGGUUUGGCCAGAAAGAGCCGACAUUCAAAAUUUCAGGGCCCACGUGAAACUGCCAUGGCAUUGACCAGAUUACAUUUUUUUCUGCACUUCUUUCCAGCAUCUUGUUUAUCAUCCUUGCUACAAGCAGAGUGAAAACACCCGCAGCAGGACGUACCAUGGGAGCAUCAUCCGUGCAUUCUUAAGAUCGCUGAUUUAUUUCAUUUCAUUUCUGAUAGCUCUGUUGCUCAUUACGGUGUCUGUGGCGUAAACACUCGGCCCUCUCCGCCACCGCCACCACAGCAGCUAAGCGCUAAGGUCUCCCUUCUCUGUGAUUCCUCACAUGGUCACUAAAGCAUUUAUUUAUUUAGUAAGCACUGUCACAGUUGCUCACAGUAAUUUCCAGAACGGCAGCUAAGUUAGUCUGGUUGUGGCAGAAAAACAACACGAAGAUUCCCGGGGCUUUUAAGAGACGAACAGAUUUAUUACGGCAGGAACAUGCUGUAUGAACAUGCGACAAUGAAUUUGGACGAGGCUAUUGUUAUUGUUGUGGUUUAUGAGGAGGAGGAGGAGGAUGCUUGUGGAAGUUGGAAGCCUUUGGAAAACAGCCCGGAGGAAGUGGACCUGUGCUCUCACAGAAGCGAGGACGCUGACGGCCAGAUAGAAGUUAGAUACACUUGGCUGGCCGGGGUGACGCCUCAUCUCUGA
Molecule: long non-coding RNA, 1012 nt
Filed under: Pogona vitticeps (central bearded dragon)
Lineage: Eukaryota; Metazoa; Chordata; Lepidosauria; Squamata; Agamidae
Description: lncRNA (ENSPVIG00000004476.1)
Source: RNAcentral